This is a long non-coding RNA of Gymnodraco acuticeps, 550 nucleotides long. RefSeq lists it as uncharacterized. Lineage: Eukaryota; Metazoa; Chordata; Actinopteri; Perciformes; Bathydraconidae. The transcript has 3 exons. The record is from RefSeq and is a predicted model, not a curated record.
AAUCAAGCUGCUGCUCUACAUCACAGACAUCCAGCAGAGGCCUUAUUUAUUUACAUAAUAUUUCAAUAUCUGGCUAGUUUGCUGCAUUGUUCUACAAUGCCAAGGAAUAGCUUAUUCCUCACCUUUGGAAACUAACCGUGUGCUAUUUUUGUUAUAGAUCUAGGAGCUAAAUCAACAUUGUGGAUGGGCAACCUCUAUAUAGGUGUAAUAUGUGAAUGGGCGUGUGGCAAUGUAAGGUCUUGGAGCGUCUGUGAAAGGCACUGUCCAGUCGGUCAUUGCAGACAACCUAGGAGCCCACGGGAUAGCAGGGUUCAUUGAAUGCUUUUCUGGUGUCUACUUCUGCAGAUUUUGUACAGGUACAAGAGCAGACAUUCAGACUAAAACGGUUCAGUCAGGUUAUUUUGAAAAUCGUACAAAAGACUUGCAUCACAAGCACAUUACAUUUGCAAGAGAGAAUGCCACCAUCUGUUGUGGGGUAAAGAGAGAGUGUGUUUUUACAAAAAGAUUAUCUUACUUUCACGUUACUCGGGGCUACCCUCCUGACAUUGCA